UAGAGUGGGACAUUGCCAGUGCAUGGCUGU
This 30-nucleotide non-coding RNA is filed under the name Mus musculus (house mouse). The record is from RNAcentral. Lineage: Eukaryota; Metazoa; Chordata; Mammalia; Rodentia; Muridae.